UGCGCCUCCUCUAGGCGCCAACUCAGGUCACAGGGUUGAGUAGGGAGGACCCGGGAGUGGCGAAGGCGGCGGCCCGUCUUGGCCCCCUGCGGCGCCGGAGCGCGGGAUCCUGUGGACCGCAGAGUCGACCUGCAAGACUUGAUCAAGAUUCCCCAUUGCAUUCAGAUAGUUUUUAUUGCUGCUUCCCUGAAAGCAUGACAAUCAAUUGCAGGCCAGAGUACUUUGUCUUCCACAGAGGAAUGCCUCAGAAUCCCAUGGAAAAGGACAAUGCCAGAGACUUUGGGGAAAUGGCUUCUGAUGGCACCAUUUAAACAACACUGAGACCAUACUUGUGGACUGAGUCAGGAUUUUUAGAAUUCUAGUCAAGAAACCAAGGGUUCAAUGGGUUCAUAGCCUGACAUCCAAAGGUACAAGAAUUAACUACACAGCACUGAGUGAACUGAUGAGAGAUGAUUACAGUUUUUGUCUCAACUAUUGUUGAUAUUUUUGUAAUGUUCUAUUUUCUGGAUAUUUAAGGAAGCCCUUUUUCUUUUCUGUUAAGCUAUAUAUAAUAACAACUUAGUAAGUAUAACUCUGCCUUCAUUUCUGACUCUGAUUUUGUAAAUUGAAAUGAAACAUUUGUAAUGAUAUGUUGUACUCCUUGCCUGACUUCUCCAGAAUUUGGAAACUAUUAUCGAAUAUUCUUAAUUUCAUGACAAUGUCAUUGUCAUAUUUUUAUGACAAUAUAGUUAUUGGCAUAGAUUCAGUAAGAAUCUGUCCUUAUUUUACCAGGACAUAAUUGGAAACAUUGGUUAUACACCCAAGGAUUUGCCUGGAAUGUUAUAUUUGAGAA
Manis javanica (Malayan pangolin) is the source of this 832-nucleotide non-coding RNA. The record is from RefSeq and is a predicted model, not a curated record. Lineage: Eukaryota; Metazoa; Chordata; Mammalia; Pholidota; Manidae.